GGUUGAUCCUGCCAGUAGUCAUAUGCUUGUCUCAAAGAUUAAGCCAUGCAAGUCUUAGUAUAAGCUUUUAUACGGUGAAACUGCGAAUGGCUCAUUAAAUCAGUUAUAGUUUAUUUGAUGAUUUCAGCUACAUGGAUAACCGUAGUAAUUCUAGAGCUAAUACAUGGGAAAAGACCCGACUUUUUGGAGGGUUGUGUUUAUUAGGUAUAUUAACUGACGGCCCUUUGGUGGGUAGGUUGGUGAGUCAUGAUAAAUGUGUUACGGAUCGCAGCAAGGCCGCAAGGCUGGCGAUG
Molecule: ribosomal RNA, 293 nt
Filed under: uncultured eukaryote
Lineage: Eukaryota
Description: partial 18S ribosomal RNA
Rfam family: Eukaryotic small subunit ribosomal RNA
Source: RNAcentral